CAGUAAUUUGUUCCCCAAGUUGAAUUUCAGGUUCUCCUGGAGUUUCUUCCCCGGGAGUGACCUCUGCAGGCUCAGUAGGAUGUUUUUGUUGUGGUGCAUCAUCAUUCGAUGAGGGUGGAGCAUUUUCUUGGGGUGUAGCUGGCUCCCAAGCAUUAGAGCCAUCCGCAAAACGAGUAGGUCUCCGAUUUCGCCCACGCUCAGUCCCUCUUGCCAUGUCAACCUACA
Molecule: long non-coding RNA, 225 nt
Filed under: Elaeis guineensis (African oil palm)
Lineage: Eukaryota; Viridiplantae; Streptophyta; Magnoliopsida; Arecales; Arecaceae
Description: long non-coding RNA (EGUI_LNC025321)
Source: RNAcentral